This 328-nucleotide unclassified non-coding RNA is filed under the name soil metagenome. RNAcentral's name for it is "partial contains 5.8S ribosomal RNA, internal transcribed spacer 2, and large subunit ribosomal RNA". The stretch from base 1 to 120 matches the Rfam family "5.8S ribosomal RNA", at positions 35 to 154 of the family's 154-position model. The record is from RNAcentral.
GAUGAAGAACGCAGCGAAAUGCGAUAAGUAAUGUGAAUUGCAGAAUUCAGUGAAUCAUCGAAUCUUUGAACGCACAUUGCGCCCCUUGGUAUUCCGGGGGGCAUGCCUGUUCGAGCGUCAUUACAACCCUCAAGCUCUGCUUGGUCUUGGGCGUCACCGGUCCCCGGUGUGCCUUAAAAUCAGUGGCGGCGCCAUCUGGCUCUAAGCGUAGUACAUACUCUCGCUACAGACGUCCGGUGGAUGCUGGCCAGCAACCCCCAAUUUAUCAAGGUUGACCUCGGAUCAGGUAGGGAUACCCGCUGAACUUAAGCAUAUCAAUAGCGGAGGA